RNAcentral lists this ribosomal RNA (558 nucleotides) under uncultured bacterium. Its description in RNAcentral is "bacterial SSU rRNA". It matches the Rfam family "Bacterial small subunit ribosomal RNA", at positions 347 to 918 of the family's 1533-position model. The record is from RNAcentral.
GGCAGCAGCAAGGAAUUUUCGGCAAUGGGCGCAAGCCUGACCGAGCAACGCCGCGUGCGGGAUGACGGCCUUCGGGUUGUAAACCGCUUUUGGGGGGGAUGACAUCGACCGUACCCCCCGAACAAGCCCCGGCUAACUCUGUGCCAGCAGCCGCGGUAAUACAGAGGGGGCAAGCGUUGUCCGGAUUGACUGGGCGUAAAGCGCAUGUAGGUGGCACGGCAAGUGGGGUGUGAAACCCGUCGGCUUAACCGACGGACGCCAUCCCAAACUGCCGCGCUUGAGUCGUGCAGAGGUCCGUGGAAUUGCCGGUGUAGUGGUGAAAUGCGUAGAGAUCGGCAGGAACACCUAGGGGGAAGCCAGCGGACUGGGCAGUGACUGACACUGAGAUGCGACAGCGUGGGGAGCGAACCGGAUUAGAUACCCGGGUAGUCCACGCCGUAAACGAUGUCGGCUCGGCAUGUGCUGGCUAUCAACGCCGGUGGGUGCCUUAGCAAACGCGGUAAGCCGACCGCCUGGGAACUACGAGCGCAAGCUUAAAACUCAAAUGAAUUGACGGAA